UUCAUACUCCCUUCGUCCCAAAAUACUUGUCAUAGAUUUGUUUAGAUAUGAAUCUAUCUAGUCAAGUUUUAGUAUUUAGAUACAUCCAUUUCUAAAAAAAGGUAAGACAAGAAUUUUGGGACGGAGGAAGUAUAAA
Non-coding RNA from Hordeum vulgare subsp. vulgare (domesticated barley), 136 nucleotides. Lineage: Eukaryota; Viridiplantae; Streptophyta; Magnoliopsida; Poales; Poaceae. The record is from Rfam.